GUAGCUACAGGAUACCUGGUGCUUAGGCCCCUUAAGGACUCCACUCCUGAGCAAGGUCAUAAAUUCUAGCACUUUACAUACCGAAGCUUAGGAAGACAGAAUAUCAGAUCAAGAUUCUCUCUCUAGCAGAGAUUGGAGAUUCCUGAGUGAGAAGAGGCCAUAGGAUACUUUGAAGGCUGAAUUGAUCCAUUAGCCUGUGGUGCUACAAGCCUGGGCCGCAAUAAUGCUGUAUCCCUCCAGAGGCCUGGCGUGAAAUCAAAUAGGAGGAAUUUAAUCUCACCACCCUCUCGGCCCUCUGAAAGAGUUGGAACUCCAGAGAGUUACUUCAAGUGACCCUUCUGCUGUAAAGAAUGCAGGAAGACAUUUGAAGAACAUGUGGCUCAGAAACACAUUUAGAACUAUCACCUGUUAGUACCUUCAUCUGUCUACAUGAGACAAGCUUCAAGCCUCACCAUCUGGUCAACACGACUAAAUUCUGCUACCAUUGACCCCAAACUCUGUUAAAAGGUGCCAUGUUUGGAAAAAGACCUCCAGCAAUGCCUCUCUGCCAAUUUCUUCAAUUAAUCAAAUGUUUAUCAGUCAUUU
RNAcentral lists this long non-coding RNA (585 nucleotides) under Mus spicilegus (steppe mouse). Its description in RNAcentral is "lncRNA (ENSMSIG00000030758.1)". The record is from RNAcentral. Lineage: Eukaryota; Metazoa; Chordata; Mammalia; Rodentia; Muridae.